UGGGGAAUAUUGGACAAUGGGCGAAAGCCUGAUCCAGCCAUGCCGCGUGUGUGAAGAAGGCCUUCGGGUUGUAAAGCACUUUCAGCGAGGAGGAAGGGAGUUGUGUUAAUAGCACAGCUUCUUGACGUUACUCGCAGAAGAAGCACCGGCUAACUCUGUGCCAGCAGCCGCGGUAAUACAGAGGGUGCAAGCGUUAAUCGGAAUUACUGGGCGUAAAGCGCACGUAGGCGGUUUUUAAGUCAGAUGUGAAAGCCCCGGGCUCAACCUGGGAAUUGCAUUUGAAACUGGAAAACUAGAGUGUGUGAGAGGGGGGUAGAAUUCCAAGUGUAGCGGUGAAAUGCGUAGAGAUUUGGAGGAAUACCAGUGGCGAAGGCGGCCCCCUGGCACAACACUGACGCUCAGGUGCGAAAGCGUGGGGAGCAAACAGGAUUAGAUACCCCAGUAGUCCCUGAGCGGGCUGGCAAGGCGCAU
RNAcentral lists this ribosomal RNA (471 nucleotides) under uncultured bacterium. RNAcentral describes it as "bacterial SSU rRNA". It matches the Rfam family "Bacterial small subunit ribosomal RNA", at positions 355 to 825 of the family's 1533-position model. The record is from RNAcentral.